CUGCUGCCUCCCGUAGGAGUUUGGACCGUGUCUCAGUUCCAAUGUGGGGGACCUUCCUCUCAGAACCCCUAUCCAUCGAUGCCUUGGUGGGCCGUUACCCCGCCAACAAGCUAAUGGAACGCAUCCCCAUCGAUGACCGAAAUUCUUUAAUAGUUCUACCAUGCGGAAGAACUAUGCCAUCGGGUAUUAAUCUUUCUUUCGAAAGGCUAUCCCCGAGUCGUCGGCAGGUUGGAUACGUGUUACUCACCCGUGCGCCGGUCGCCAUCAAA
Molecule: ribosomal RNA, 269 nt
Filed under: uncultured bacterium
Lineage: Bacteria
Description: partial 16S ribosomal RNA
Source: RNAcentral